RNAcentral lists this long non-coding RNA (400 nucleotides) under Glycine max (soybean). RNAcentral's name for it is "long non-coding RNA (GMAX_LNC003241)". Lineage: Eukaryota; Viridiplantae; Streptophyta; Magnoliopsida; Fabales; Fabaceae. The record is from RNAcentral.
AAAAACUUAACCAAAAGUAAAAACGAUAAUUAAAGUGCACAACGGAAAAUAAAGAGUGUAGGGAAGAAGACAACCCGUGCCUACAUCCAGUCCCCAAGUGACUUGCGGUCCUUGAGAUUUCUUUUCAACCUUGUAAAAACCUUUACAAGCAAAGAUCCACAAGGGAUGUACCCUUCCUUGUUCUCUUUGAACAACCUAGUGGAUGUACCCUCCACUAGAACUGAUCCACAAGAGAUGUACCCUCUCUUAUUCUCAGUCACAACAACCCAAGUAGAUGUACCCUCUACUUGUACCACAAAGGAUGUACCCUCCAAUGUGUUAAGACAAAGUUCUCAGGCGGUUAGUCCUUCGAAACUUUGUGAAGGGGAAACAAAAGAAUUCUCAGGCGGUUAGUCCUUUG